This 211-nucleotide unclassified non-coding RNA is filed under the name plant metagenome. RNAcentral describes it as "partial contains small subunit ribosomal RNA, internal transcribed spacer 1, and 5.8S ribosomal RNA". The record is from RNAcentral.
UUUCCGUAGGUGAACCUGCGGAAGGAUCAUUCAUAAUAAAGUGUUUUAUGGCACUUUUUCAAAAUCCAUAUCCACCUUGUGUGCAAUGUUAGAUCUCGUCAAUCUUGGCGAGAUUUUUAUACAUCAACUCAUUCUUUAACUAAUUUGUCUGAAAAAUAUUAUGAAUACUUAAUUCAAAAUACAACUUUCAACAACGGAUCUCUUGGCUCUC